This is a long non-coding RNA of Gadus macrocephalus (Pacific cod), 2254 nucleotides long. RefSeq lists it as uncharacterized. Lineage: Eukaryota; Metazoa; Chordata; Actinopteri; Gadiformes; Gadidae. The record is from RefSeq and is a predicted model, not a curated record. The transcript is spliced from 2 exons.
AGCACACUGGUAAAGCAAUAGGAGCCUGCAUUGGCUAAAGUUGUUGGGAUGCACCUUAUUUUAUAACAGGGAGGGGCAAAGUUGUGCAUUACAAUGCAAACACGACAAUAAUUGGCACCGUUCUUGCGCACUCAGAAGAACAUGAACUGAAUAAAUGCCAGGUAUAUAGCAUAUCGGAGACGGGUACACAAUCAGUGCAUUUGCAAAUGAGAGCCUGCAGUAGGACCGAUCUUGUGACAUUAUUUAACCAUCCAUCUACAGCUAAUACGAUCAGACAGAUACAUCAUUGAUCACAUAAAAGCCCACAACAAGCCCAACAUCACCACGGCAGGUGCGCUCUCUCUCGCACAUUCACACAAUCACUCCAACUUCUCCAACUCCAAGGCAAGGCUGUUUCACUAAGACCACAAACAACCACAACUAACCAGCCUACAUAUCCACAAUAAUGCACAACAAUCAGUUAUAUACAUUGCGUCUAUCUUCUGUUUGGUGCACAUGGCUAAUUUGCAUAGUUUGCACCGGACUGUCUGCUCCGCUUGUCAAAAAAAUAGAACGUAUUUGUGAAUAAAUGCUUUGAAUUCUGAAUACUGGACUUGGUGAGCUUGAAUAGGCUAAAUUUAAGUGACCUUUAGUGAGAUGGCCUAAUACGGAAUACAAAUGAAUUAUUCUAGGACAUAUAGGCUUUCAGGAUCAAUUCAGAGGUUCAACUGUUCGGGAUUCAUUUUGCUUAGCCAUAGUCAUUAUGCGCUAAAAUGGUCCCUGCCAGUGUUUUUCUAUUCUGAUGUUUGUGGAUGAAUCUUUCAGCUACAGCUUUGUUACAUUUCCUUGCGAUGGUUUGCUAGUUUAACUAUACAGCAAUAAAUCAAAUGAUGUAAGUUGAUGUGUCCGUUGCGUGGCUGUCAUGUGAGAGCCGUAUACGCAUUUUAAAAACACCUGUAAUCAGCGUGACUAUGACUUUCCGAGCGGAUCAUGGGGGGCUCUUCAAUCAUUUAUUUUUUAGGAUUUUCUCCCGUCAUCCUCCAGUUUAUUGCAAACAUCUGGAGAUAAGUAGGUUUAAUUAAAUACUCAAGUGAAAUACAAGUGUACCUCCAAAUUGCACUUAUUGUACAGUACUUCGGUAAGGGCAUUUACAAUCCAUCACUAAAGUUUUAAUAGAAUAUUCUGAUUCAGCGGAUUUAAAAUGUAUUUGUAUAAUCUUCACAAAUCUUGCAGCAAUGCAAUGUUAAUAUAUCAUCAUGGGAAAUGAGUAUUCUGAUUCAGCACAUUUACUAUUUAUUUGUAUAAUCUUCACAACUCACAGCAAUGAAAUGUUAAUUUAUCAUCAUGGGAAAUAGCAUAUAGACAAGCUUCAUAAAAAUUCAUUUCUAAGCAGUAGGCCUACUACAUAUUUCUCAACGUAAGCAUCAUGACCAUAAGCUAUCCCAACGUUUUCACACCUUUCACACAGUAGGGCAGCAUUAGUCAUGCAUGAUUAACAACACAUCAAAGAAACUUUAUUGAGGGAUAACAGUGAAUAAAACAUCUGCGUCUUGGGUAAAGAUGGGCUAUGCUUAAUGUGAGGAGCAGAGCCCGAUUGGAAGGAAGCCCAUUCAGGACGAAGUUUACCCGGAGAAGGCAGCUUCCAGGCAGAUGAAGAUGGGGGGGCUCUACUUCUUAUUACCACAACAGGAACAGAACGCAGCCAAGCCAAUGAAUUCAGCCAAGUCACUGAGAAGUCUGUCUUUAACAUUUGGAAAAUACAGUUCAACCAUGUAGGACUUUUCUAAUUCCCCACUGUACUUUACAGAGAUAGAGCACUUUGUUGCAGUCAGACAUUUGUUUUUGUUUACCUUUAACAUAGUGAGGCUGGAACACAAUAGUUUGACCUGGCUUGGUGGAAAGCCCACUCACCACGUCAAGGUGCAGGUCAUGAAAAAAGGUGUGUGUGUGUGUAAUUCCCUAUGCUGUGCUGUAUUUACAGGUAUGCCUAGGUUCACAAAUCAAAUAGUAAAUAUUUUUUUACUUCUUAUUACCACAACAGGAACAGAACGCAGCCAUUCAGCCAAGUCACUGAGAAGUCUGUCUUUAACAUUUGGAAAAUACAGUUCAACCAUGUAGGACUUUUCUAAUUCCCCACUGUACUUUACAGAGAUAGAGCACUUUGUUGCAGUCAGACAUUUGUUUUUGUUUACCUUUAACAUAGUGAGGCUGGAACACAAUAGUUUGACCUGGCUUGGUGGAAAGCCCACUCACCACGUCAAGGUGCAGGUCAUGA